RNAcentral lists this long non-coding RNA (506 nucleotides) under Equus asinus (donkey). RNAcentral describes it as "lncRNA (ENSEASG00005026924.1)". Lineage: Eukaryota; Metazoa; Chordata; Mammalia; Perissodactyla; Equidae. The record is from RNAcentral.
CUUUAACUUGUCACUACCUAAGAGAAAUCUACACUCUCUUCCACACAGAACCCUUUCUUCAAAAAAAUACAGAAAUUUGCAACACAGGCACCAGUGUAAAGAUGAGAGGGGAAGAGGCUGGCCUGGUAGCACAGCAGGUGACUCUUUCCACACUAGGCAAGAGCCUGGGCAGGGUUCCUGAAGUUCCUCGCAUUUAUCCAGAGCCCUGCAGGAUUUCUCUACUGAGUUGCUUUACUGGCUCCUCAAACUCUGCAGGCCCAGAACAGCACCUGUCUUCCUCACAGAAAACUGGUCCUCUUCUGCCUUCCCUGUUUCAGUGAAUACCACCAGCAUCCAGAUGGUGAUGGAUUUUGCAAGCUGUGCCGCUGGCUCCAUUGCCUGCCUUCACCACAGGAUUACAAGGGAACACAUGGUCAGCAGGCUUGAGUGACCUCUGUCCAGACUCUAGCCUCAAGGACAACUAGGUGAGCUGACAAAUUUAGUCCAUUUGUUUCCUACCAGCCUGG